AUUGACUCAGUAACGGCGAGUGAAGCGGCAAAAGCUCAAAUUUGAAAUCUGGUACCUCUGGUGCCCGAGUUGUAAUUUGAAGAUAGUUUUCUGGUAUUGGGCCCUUGUCUAUGUUCCUUGGAACAGGACGUCAUAGAGGGUGAGAAUCCCGUCUGGCGGGGCGCCCUUUGCUAUGUAGAUUUCUAUCGACGAGUCGAGUUGUUUGGGAAUGCAGCUCUAAGUGGGUGGUAAAUUCCAUCUAAAGCUAAAUAUUGGCGAGAGACCGAUAGCGAACAAGUACAGUGAUGGAAAGAUGAAAAGAACUUUGAAAAGAGAGUGAAAAAGUACGUGAAAUUGUUGAAAGGGAAGGAUAUUGGAUCAGACUUGGUGUUGCAUGAUUAUCUUCCCCUUGUGGGUUGUGCACUCGUGCUUCACUGGGCCAGCAUCGGUUCGGACGGCAAGAUAAUGACAUUGGGAACGUGGCUCUUUCUUCGGUUAGAGUGUUAUAGCCCAUGUUGAUGUUGCCUGCCUGGACCGAGGACUGCGGCUUCGGCCUAGGAUGCUGGCGUAAUGAUUCAAUAUCGCCCGUCUUGAAACACGGACCAAGGAGUCUAACGUCUAUGCGAGUGUUUGGGUGUAACACCCAUACGCGUAAUGAAAGUGAACGUAGGUGAGAGCCGCAAGGUGCAUCAUCGACCGAUCCUGAUGUCUUCGGAUGGAUUUGAGUAAGAGCAUAGCUGUUGGGACCCGAAAGAUGGUGAACUAUGCCUGAAUAGGGUGAAGCCAGAGGAAACUCUGGUGGAGGCUCGUAGCGGUUCUGACGUGCAAAUCGAUCGUCGAAUUUGGGUAUAGGGGCGAAAGACUAAUCGAACCAUCUAGUAGCUGGUUCCUGCCGAA
Molecule: ribosomal RNA, 876 nt
Filed under: Williopsis misumaiensis
Lineage: Eukaryota; Fungi; Ascomycota; Saccharomycetes; Phaffomycetales; Wickerhamomycetaceae
Description: LSU rRNA
Rfam family: Eukaryotic large subunit ribosomal RNA
Source: RNAcentral